Molecule: long non-coding RNA, 832 nt
Organism: Homarus americanus (American lobster)
Lineage: Eukaryota; Metazoa; Arthropoda; Malacostraca; Decapoda; Nephropidae
Exons: 7
Source: RefSeq, a predicted model, not a curated record
CUCCCUCCUGCCCGACUCACACUUGUUGUUUCAGUGUGUAUUCUCUUGUGCUGGCAGGAAGGUGUACACGCCACCUCUCGGGACAUAUUGGUGUUGGUGCUGCUGUAUGGGUGUUGGUGCUGUGAACGAAAGACCUUUGACAUACACCCGAGUGGAGUUAACCUCUUGUCGCCGUCACUACCCCAGGUUGAUGGAAGAACGUCUGAGAUGAUGGAACAAUUACAUUAGGUAGUGAAGAGGAGGGCAGAGUUACCAGGUCUCGCUACCACUCACCUGCGUUAAAGGUAUCACCGGGUUCGAGCUGCUUCACAUCAGUGGUCGAGACAGAUUCAGAAGAGGCCGCUUUUGUCUUCGGAGUGAACAUCAGUAGCUAUAACAUCCUCUCCCAGCCGGUGUGAUGUGACGUGAUGUGACGUGACGUGACGUGACGUGAUGUGAGGUAAUGACAGUCACCAGGUAAUUAAUGGAAGGAUCAGGUGAGACAGCAAACACCAUCCCUCCACUCAACUCCUCGUGACAGAGACAUUCCACUUCAACCACACCAAAAAUAAAGAUAACGAGUGAGAAAAUAAAGAUAGAAGAAGGUGUAAUAAUUAAGGAGAUAAGAGAGAUAAAGUGAGUGAGUGAGUGAAGGAACUUUUCACCGUAAACAUGUGAGUGAGGGGUCGUGGAGCAGUAGAGGUGGGCAUUACUAGACCUGAGGCGAUUUGGCCCCACCAGCAUCCUGCAGGAGACUCACACCGCCAUGGAAGGAGCGUGACACAUCUUGCUAGCUAGAAGGAGUCAGGAUGGAGAGCAAACCAGCAGGAGGGGGAUUUCCUGGUGGAGGAGG